This 253-nucleotide ribosomal RNA is filed under the name uncultured bacterium. RNAcentral describes it as "partial 16S ribosomal RNA". It matches the Rfam family "Bacterial small subunit ribosomal RNA", at positions 524 to 776 of the family's 1533-position model. The record is from RNAcentral.
UACGUAGGGAGCAAGCGUUGUCCGGAAUCAUUGGGCGUAAAGCGCGCGUAGGCGGCCCGGUCAGUCCGUCGUGAAAGUCAAAGGCUCAACCUUUGAAUGUCGAUGGAUACUGCCGGGCUAGAGUCCGGAAGAGGCGAGUGGAAUUCCUGGUGUAGCGGUGGAAUGCGCAGAUAUCAGGAGGAACACCAGUGGCGAAGGCGGUUACCUGGAGCUUUGCUGACGCUGAUGCGCGAAAGCGUGGGGAGCGAUCCGG